RNAcentral lists this unclassified non-coding RNA (21 nucleotides) under Mus musculus (house mouse). RNAcentral's name for it is "oocyte_clustered_small_RNA99". The record is from RNAcentral. Lineage: Eukaryota; Metazoa; Chordata; Mammalia; Rodentia; Muridae.
AUAAACCACCCAAAUACUCAA